UUUUUUUUCAUAGUACUGCAUAAUAGUAAUUAAUUGUGAACCAUUUUUAAAUCUUCAAAGGCAUUCUGACAAAAAUGAAGUUAAUAUUAUAUUUAGUGUUAAUUGAAUCUUACUGAAUGUGAUUUCUUUGAGUAUGGUAAUUUUCAUCUGCCAUACAUGUAAUUAUGUCUUAACCUGAUUAGUCAAGUAAAUGGAAUGGCCUGUUUUACACCAUUCCAAUUUUUAAAGAGUUAAGAUAGUUGCAAUUAAUCAAAGACACUGAGAAGAGCUAUUUUUUUGUUUCCUUGAGCACCCAGGAUAUGCUGGUAUUUAAAAU
This 316-nucleotide long non-coding RNA is filed under the name Bos taurus (domestic cattle). RNAcentral describes it as "long non-coding RNA NONBTAT004233". Lineage: Eukaryota; Metazoa; Chordata; Mammalia; Artiodactyla; Bovidae. The record is from RNAcentral.